AUACGUAGGUGGCGAGCGUUGUCCGGAACUAUUGGGCGUAAAGGAUGCGUAGGUGGAUAUUUAAGUGGGAUGUGAAAUCCCCGGGCUCAACCCGGGAACUGCAUUCCAUACUGGAUGUCUAGAGUGCAGGGGAGGAAAGCGGAAUUCCUAGUGUAGCGGUGAAAUGCGUAGAUAUUAGGAGGAACACCAGUGGCGAAGGCGGCUUUCUGGACUGUAACUGACACUGAGGCAUGAAAGCGUGGGUAGC
Molecule: ribosomal RNA, 247 nt
Filed under: uncultured bacterium
Lineage: Bacteria
Description: partial 16S ribosomal RNA
Rfam family: Bacterial small subunit ribosomal RNA
Source: RNAcentral